This 206-nucleotide ribosomal RNA is filed under the name uncultured bacterium. Its description in RNAcentral is "partial 16S ribosomal RNA". The record is from RNAcentral.
GACGAACGCUGGCGGCGUGCUUAACACAUGCAAGUCGAGCGGUAAGGCCCUUUCGGGGUACGACGAGCGGCGAACGGGUAGGAGUAACAACGUGGGUGGACCUCGCCCUCCAGCUCUGGGAGUAAAGCCUCGGGAAACGUAGGGUCGUAAUAACUGGAGUAUGACUCCACGGUGCAUGUCGUGGGGUGGGAAAGACCUUGUGCGGC